AGCUGCGCCUCCAAGGAAGAAAGUCCAACCAUCAAGCUUGAGAAAACUAUUCGCCUCCCCUUCACUAAGAUUUUCCAGGGGCAGAGAGAAUCUGGAAGGAAUACAAUGCCUUUAAAUCUUUUAAGCUUAGAGGCUUACCAAAGAAAUGGGUACCCAGUGAUAGAAGAGGUCAAGUGCUGUGCUGUACUGAUUGAUACAUUGUCUCCAGAAGGAAGUGUGACAAUGGACAACCUACAAGCAGAUGUGCCUGAAAUGAAGAAGUCUGCAGCAGAGCCUCCACUUGACCUAUGAUAGA
This is a long non-coding RNA of Cebus imitator (Panamanian white-faced capuchin), 295 nucleotides long. RefSeq lists it as uncharacterized. The record is from RefSeq and is a predicted model, not a curated record. The transcript is spliced from 3 exons. Lineage: Eukaryota; Metazoa; Chordata; Mammalia; Primates; Cebidae.